UGCCUGUGUUAAAAUGCUCAGGUAUUUGCUAAACAUGCUUCUUACCAGAGGCAAUGCUACUUUUUUAAAGGACACAAUUAAUUAGGUCUCAGGAUAUUGAUAAUCAGGAAGAGUGUAGCAUUGAUGAUAUUUUCCUCAGACUUCCAGCACGCAUGCUAGCUACGUGCCCCUCCCUCACUGGCUUCAACUUGUGCCCAGAGGCAGUUUGACCCUCACAUUUUCCUGCCUUACUUUUGGCCUUGAGAAUCCAGGUGUCAGUAGGUGCCUUUGCCUCUCUUUGAUGGAGCUGUGUUUUGUCUCCUUUCCAGUUGGUGCCCUCCUUGACUCUGGUAGGUGUCCAAGCCCUGUUGUUCUCCCUGCACGGGGGGGCUAAGCAAUGCUUUGUAAAUUAUGCACCAGUCUCACAAUGUUUGGGGAGCCUGUGGACCCCUUUUGUCUACAUGGAGGUAAAUUAUUUAGCAAAGGCAAUUUAAAUGAUUCAGAGGGGAUGGCGUGAAGUCUGGCUGUGGAACAGCUUGUCUGGGAAAAUGUAACUGACCCUGGUGUGCGGAGGACUCAGCUCCAAAGCAGAGCUGAGCACAUUUUACCUGCUCCCUAGAUCCUGUAGGUUCCAUGCCCUGCCUGUCUCCAGACACUGUCCCACGUUAAUAAUCAUUAUAAUUUAAAAGUCUAUGAUCUCAUUUGGUGCUUGUUUCGCGUCUGCAGCAGGGAGGUUUAUAAUAGUGUGGUCUGGGGAAGCAAGCUGGGUCUGGACAGGUUUUGUUAUGAGUCCUGCUUUUCUAACCUGCGAGACCUCAGUUUCCUCUUCUGUAAAUUAGGGAUAAUAAAAGCAACUUUUAAUUGUUAACAUCUCCAUUUGACUAUCUAAUCUAAGGAAUCUGGCCAAGACAAGCUCCUUAAUAUUCUGCCCCAUGCUGUCCACAAACCUGCCCUAGGAAUAGUGUCUCCAUCUCAGUAAAUGAGAACUUUUCACUCAGUUACUCAGGACCCAGCCCUGCACAUCAUAUUUGAUUCACUUCUCUCCUGCAGCCUCCACAGUGAAUCUCUUCACUGGUCCUGUCUGCCCUACUCCCAAACACAUAGCCCGUGGGAUCCUUCUCACCAGGUCUUCUGCAGCUCUCCAGCUGAAGCCUCUGUCAGUUCAGCUGUGCUGUUGAAAAGCCCCCUUACUCAUUCUCCUGCGGCUGCCUUUACUUCCCCAACCCUGUCUCAUCCCCACCAAGCAAUCAAGACUUUCUUUAAAAAAUAAACAAUAAUAAAUAAAUUGGACGGUAUUCUUCCCUUCUUAACCCUUUGAUGGCUGCUACUUACUCUUAAAAUAGAAUCCAUGGCCUCUUUUAAAAAAAAUUACCUAUGGGCCUUACAUGACUGGGCUCCAGCACACCUCUCUCCACUUAACAUUAACCCCACUGGCCUUGGGAUUCUAGAACAUUCCAAACAUGUUCCCACAUGAGGGCCUUUGCUCUCGUUGGCCCCUGAGGCUGGACUGGUCCUCCCCUGGCUUGGCUAGUUCCAUUUCAAUGUCCAGGCAUCUGGGGAGAUGUUACAUCCUCACGGGACUUCCCUGACAACCUUGAAGAGUCACCUUCCUGUCACACUGUAGUGGUUUUAUUUCCUUCAUGCCACUUAUCCCUACAUUCAAUUCUGAUAUUGAGCUUCAUGGUUUGUGCACCAUCCCCUCCACUGGAAGACAGCUCCUUGCAGGAUGGGCUUUUUUCAGUGUUAUUUGCCAUGGUAGCCCCAGGUAGGUUCAUUAGAUAAAAUACAGGACAACCAGUUAAACUUGAAUUUCAGAUAAACAACAAUUAUCUUUUUAAUAAAAAAAUAUUGCACAGGGCAUACUUAUGCUUAAAAAAAAAAGAUUUGUUGUCCCUGUAUUUUCACUUACUAAAUAUGGCAACCCUAGUCCCUUCAGAACUGUCAUCUCUGUUGAGGCUUUAUAAAUACUUGUUGAAAGAAAGAAAGAAAUAGUGAGUGAGCAAUGAGAGGUGAUCAUCACAUAAAAUCUGCAGACUGAAUUGCCUUUAUCUUUUUGCCUUCAUAUUCCUAGUGUCUUGUCAAUGCUUGACAUAUGAUCUUUUUCCCCUUCAUAUUAUAUUGUUAGUUUCAUUUUGCAGUUGGAUAAAUAGGGUUAGAGAAUAGGAGGCUUUUCCAGAGUUAAGCAGCUAGAGAUAACAUCAUAAAUAUAGAAGAAAGUGGCUUCUGAAAGGUGUGUUAAAUGUGUAAAAGCUUACUUCCCUUCUCCCAUAAAAGAAGUUGGCGUAAAGGCAGUGUAGGCUUGACAUGGUGUUUCUGAGGCCAUGCUUCAAUCUUUCUCCUCCAGAAUCAUCAGACCAGUUUCUAACCUCAAGUUUACUGCAUGGUCCUAUGAUGUCUGCUGGAAAGCCUGUCAUCACAUUCACAUUCCAGGCAGACAGCAGGCGCAAGUGGAUGAGGACAAAGAUAAUUUAUUCCCUCCACUUUAAGACCUUCCUGAAAGUCAGUCACACAUGACUUUUCCCACUUCAUUGGCCAAAACUUUAUCUCUUGACCACUCCUGGCUAUAAAGCAGCUGGCAAUGCCAUCAUUUCAGGGGUUUAUAUGUGCUGUUCUAAAUACUGGGGUCUGUUCUUACGAGCAGAAAAGAAUGAGAGAAUGGAUAUUGGGAAGCAAGAGCACCCUCUGCUCCAGCUAGAGAGGGGCAGAAAGACCCUGGUGUAUCCUCAGACUGCUGUACCCUAUGCCUGCUCACAGGACAGACAAGAGCCUUUUAAGGGUGAAGACAGGACUAGACCCCAGCCUCCUGGUCACAUGACUCAGAGAUCUCCCAUAUCCUUUUACCUUCUGUUGCAUGGAGUGGAAUGGGUCGGAGUCUGAGAUGUGGAUCUUUGUGUUAGUCUGAGACUUUUUCUGUGUGGGAGAGAUUGUAUCCUACACACAGUCUAGAAGACAUUGGGGAGGCCCUGAAGCAAUUACUAUUGCUAGAAAUAAAGUGUAGAGACAGAAGUGGGGAUGGGAUGGUACUAGAGAGUUAGGCACAAGUCGAGUGAUGAGAGGUUGUGUCUGGUCUACACAGGAUCCUAAUAGAUCUUAACAGGCUGCAGCAAUGGUCUAAGCAUAAUGAGGCAAAACUGAACAGGAACAGAACAUGUUACACCCGAGUCCAAAAGAAAACUAACAAGAUGCACUGAUGUGACUUAGUAUCUUCAGGAUAAAAAUGACAGAAGCACUUCAGUAAUAUCAGCCAUAAUGUGUAAGGGAGUUAUUUUGAUCUCAGCCUGCAGGAGCAGAGAAUUUCAACGAGGUGAGAGGCAUGCUUUGCCAUGCACAGGCUAGACCACACUUGUCAUGCUGCCUGUAGUUCUGAAAAGGACAGACCAAAGUUUUAAAAGGAGAGAAGCCAGGAUGGGAUUGAAGAAUCCUCAGGUUGUAUAUUUAACAUUUUUAUCAGUCACUUGGGUCACGCCUGCUUAUCAAAUUUGUGGAUUACUCUAAUCUGACAGAGGUGGUAGAUACAGUGACAGGCAGAAUCAGUCAAAUAGAACAAUGAGCGAGCCAAUGCCAGGCUAUGAAAUUGAAAACAGAUCAAGGUAUCUCACCCCCAAAAAUGAUAAGUAUGUGAAGUAAUGCAUAUGUUAAUUAGCACUAUUUAGCCAUUUCAGAAAGCCUGCUUAUUUCAAACAACAUGCUGUACACAAUAAAUAUAUAUAAGAUCUGUGUCAAUGAAAAAAUUAAAAUUAAAAGUCAAAGAAAAAAAGAAAAAAGUUUGGAAGAGCAAUCCAUUGUUCAAGAAAGGGAUGAGAGAGACCUGGUACAAUGGCUGUUCUAACAAAUCGGCACUUUAGUGGGCAGCAGGGCUCAUCAAAGUACCAGUGUGUCUGUGUGUGUCCCAGGCUGGUGGAUGGUGGGCUUCCAAGGAGCCUCCAGGCAGCACUGAUAUUCAUGACUUCACCCAAGCCAGGGUUUUGACCUUGGCUUUGUGAGUUUAGAUUUUCAAAGUGUUUGAGUUUCCUGGACUUGGGGAGGCUGACUCUCACUAACAAUGCUUUUAGGAGACUGCAGAUGCCAAAAGUAUUGAUUUUCAGCAUGAAUUCUACUUGUUAGGUACCUUAAACCUGAUCAGCAUACAUAUGGUUCUUCUUCCAUGUAAGAAAACCACAUGAGGAGCCAAAUAAUACCUCUAAGGAGUUUUGAGGAGGAUGGAACUGAAAAGAGGGAUGUGAGUAGUGUGACUCGAAUGCUGUUAGAAGAGUCUGAUGUGUCCUUCUUCCUCAGGUGAAAGUUCUCAGACUGAAAACAUCUAGAUAACCUCUAGCUAUGCUAAGCCACAGGCACUUUUAUAGGCCUAGAACCCAUUUCGUGUCUUUAAGGUGACUUGACAGAGUGUGGUUUUGUCCUCUUAUUUUUUGGCAUAUUCUGCAACUCAGGAAACAGUCUUGUUUCACUUUCUCUGUAGCACUCGAGGUGCAUCAGUCUGCUCCUCCCUUUGCCUCAAGGUCCCACAGUGGCAAGGGGAGAGGAGACCAGUCUGGAGGGGUCUGCUUAUUAAGCCUUCAUUGCUGUCUACCCCAAGAAAACUCAGAGUCACUGUCUCCUAGGCACUUCUCAGGCAGAAAGAAAUCUUUCCUUACCCUCCAAAUCUGCUAUCCUUCAGGGAUGGAUUCUCGGGUACCUUCGACCAGCUCCCUGCUCUGUUCCAGCUUCCUGGGCAUAAAGGCAAAUAAUCCCAAUGUGUUUGGCUUUGACUUUUUCUCAUGGCCUCUUUUCCCAGUGGGUGGCCAUAUAUAUUCAUUCACAUGUCCAAGGGGAUUCCUCCUUCCAUCCCCCGUUUAUUGAUGUUCUUGUCAUAUCUCCCUUAGGAGCUUGUUGUGUCAGUCAAGGUCCCAGCAAGAAACAGAUGGCACACUUACACUUGGAUAAUGUGAAAUGAAUUUGAUAAAGGACUACUUACAAAGCUGGGAGCAGGGCUUAGGGAAACCAUGAAGAAUAGUCAAAUGCCAGAGGACUAUGAAAUCUAGGUGCUAUUGUAGGCCUGAAAGAGUGGAGAGAGGGGAAAGAGAGCCAGAAGACUGCGGGGGCUAUGCGGAAGAAACAUAGGAUUCCCGGCUUUCAACAGAACUGGCCCAUGGAAACCCCACGGCAAUAGUAAUAAAUGCCACACCCUCACUCACUUCUCUCCUUCCAAUCUCCUGCUGAUGCACAACACUGGCCAUGUGCAGUUGGUAGUCAGUGGUCAAGGGAGCCCAAGAGUGUGGUUCAGGUUCAGCUUCCCCAGGGAAUAGCAGGGUGGACAAAGAUAGAGAGUGGAUUUGGAUAGGCAAAUAGAAUAAUCCAGUAAAAACACUGAAGGCUAGACUUUGUUGUUAAUACCUGUAUUUUUUGGUUUCCCAUCCCACACAUAGUAGGUUUGCAGCAGUUGACUUGGCCAUGGAUUUCUUUGGGUAAGGAGAUGAUCUUUGAUCCCUGUAUUCCAGGGCCUAUCCCAGUACCCCCAAAAGAUGCUCCAUAAAUGUUUAUGAAAUGACUAGUGAAUGAAUGAAUGAAUGAAUGAAUGAAUAAAUGAGGUGAGCUCAGUGGGAAUUUUCCCUUAAUUUUGCUCACUGUUUCACUCCUUGGAAGUAGCCACUUCUCUGCUUCACUUGUAGGCCAGUUCCAGUUACUAAAUUUCUAAAUUAUCCUUCUGCCUAUGGGGCUGACUCUCCAAUGAGGUCUUGUAAAUCUUUGCUUCCAUCCUUGGAGUCCAGACAAGGAGCUCUUGCCUCAUGCACAGCCUCUGUUCUCUGGGAUGUCUCACCUUUUUAGCAAGGAAGCAUUCUGUGCCAGAUGCUUAACUUGUGUCCUCCUACCAGGGAGAUUCCAUGAGGAACCUUCUCUGUUCACUUUAGGCAGAUUAGAUUGGCUUCUCCUUGCUGUACUUCUAGCUAGAUGAACUGUUAAACAAAUAUCUAUUACUUAUCUGUCAUAUUCUAGGCACUGUGCUAGGACAUGAGAAUGUUCAAGUGGGUAAGAUACAGUCUGACAUAAGGGACAAAGUGCUGCAGUCCAGAGGGAGAGAAGACAAAUAAUAAAUAAUUAUUUUACAGGGUAAUACAUGCUAUGUUACUAUGUUAUUAUUCUAUAAUAAUUAUGGGAGCACAGUGGGUGAGGAGGGCACUGUGGGAGCCUGGGUGAGGAGCGCCAACCCACCCGGAGGCGCAAGGGAAGCUUUCUGGAGGAGUUAACACCUGAUCUUGUAAGAUGGGAAAGAGCAAGAUAUUAAAGAUAAAUAAUUCCAAGUCAAGUGGUGAGCAAGAUCAAAAUGACAGACACUUGACAUAGCAUGAUGUGUGCAAGGAAACAUGAACUAAUCUGUAUUAUUAGUGAUAACAGUUGAGGAAUGGGGGGUGAGAGGCAGAUGGAGGGGCAGGCAGGGGUUAGGGUGUGGAAGGCAUGGUAAGCUGAGCUAGGGACUUUGCAGGACAUUAACUAGAGUGAGGUGAAUAAGGCCUAUUUUAGGCACAAAAUGUAAAAGGGCUUCAAGGUCUCAGUCACUAGGAUAAGUAAUAUUAAAUGCAAUAUUUUAACUAAUCAAAAUUAAUGCAAAAACCCACAGUGAAAAAAAAAAUAAAAUUUUAAGAUAAAUAGUGUUGAGUGAAUUCUUAUAAUUUCAUGUUGCUUCAGUAUCCAUUUUGAAUAUAACUUUAACUUUCUCAUACCAGAAGCAGGCUUAGUCACCCUUGGCGCAGUAUCCAGUUUUACAACUCCUCCUAGUUCCUUAAGGUGGUCAGUUCAGCUCUCUGGCUUAUAUAACUCCUGGUAGUUACCUCUCCAUGAGACAGCCAGAUACAACUGACCUAAUUAGCCCCACUGACCUCCACACCCCGCAUGGACUGUGCAGGUGUGCCACAGUGGCCACCUCUUAGUCACAGUGUGACCCCCAUGAAACUAGUGCCUGCUUGUGCCACCAGUUAGACCUCCCCACAGGAAACCUGCUUGAGUAACUCCCAGGACCCAAUAAAGAAUUUGGCUUACAGGUCCCCUUCUCUCUCUCUUGCUCCCCACCUGCUGGCUGAAUGCACGUGUCCUCAGUGGCUUCCCCCUUUCCAGUGACCCUGGGAGGCAUACUGCCCCCUGCUCUCUGGAAUCUCUCAGCCACUUGGGUCUCCUUUGCCAAGGAGUGUCCUCCCUCUGGAACUCAAUACCAGCUCUUUCUUCUUCUGGAAUCUUCUCUCAGCUCUUUUAAGCCCUCCCCAGGUGCUUCAGCUGUGGACCUCCACCCUCACAGGACCUUGUCAAGAGGCUGGCCAGGUAUAAAUAACUUCUUUGAGAAGAAAGUACAGUUUCCUGACUCUUCCCUUCCAUUUUGUGUGAUGUUCCUGGGAGGACUAAUGAGGACUGAGACCCAGCCUGGAGUGACACAUUCCCUGACAUGAAGGGAGGUGACUUUGAAAGAUGCCUGGGGCAUGGUGUUCACAGCAGGGUUAGGAUAAGGUGGUAGUACUUAGAAUGUGGUCCUGGAAUCAGCAGCAUCGGCAUCACCUGAGAACUUGUUAGAAACUAAAUUCUCAGGCCCCAAACUAGACAAUCAGAGAAUCUGAGGGUGGGCUCCAGCAAUCUGGGUUUUCACAGGCCCUCUGGGUGAUUCUGAUGUUCAUUAUGUGGGGGACCACUCGCCUGAGACACUGUAUUUUGGUUUGGAUGUUUUGUUUUUUUCAUAAUUCUAUCAUAUGUAGCAUCUCACUGAAUUCUCACCAUGAUUUUGGAAAACUGGCAGGAGAAGGCAAAGCUGGUUGGGGUUAUGCCCAUUUUACAAAUGAGAAGGUAAAAAUCAUAGAGGUUACAUGACUUGCUCAGUAGGAGAUUGAUAAGGAGUGGUGAAAAAUAAGGUUGAGGGCAAAGUAGGGCCAGAUCAUAGAUGGGAUUCUUGACAGACAGAGUAAAAAACAAUAGAGAACCAUGAUAAGUUCUUGAGUUUGCAAACAGCAGAACAAAGUGGUGCUUUACAGAAAAUAAUUUGAAAGUGAUGUUUGGGACAGAUUAGAGUAGGAGAAGCUAGAAGCCCUGUUAUACCUGUUGGCAGUCCAAAUUACCAUGCUUUUAAAAUUUCAGUAGUGCAUUUUACUCCAGCAAUGAUCUGUAAAUGCAGACAGGCUAACAGAGAUGGGCCUUCCUUGUGCUCCUAAAUCACACCAUGUUACUUACCUCUCCGGAUGUCAGUUUACUUGGCUCUAAAUGGGAAUUAGCCUAUUCCAUAAAUUGCCCCUUUUUACAGGGUGUGACUAGUUUUUCUUUUUUUUGGAUCAAACCAUGCCAAACUUGGUGUAUAGUUGGUGUUUGGAAUCACUGAAUUUUCUUGAUUUAGAAUUGACGUGAUGAAAGCGAUAGUUUAAGAGAAAUUGUAGAGUGGUGGCAGAGAGAUAUUUUCAUUACUGUGAACAACAUAUUAUUAAAAUAAACAGGUUGAUGUUAAAGUUGACAUAUGUUUUAAAAAUUAAACUGCUGAAAGAUGCUUAAGAAAAACAAUUCUUUACUGUUACGGAGUACCUUAUCAUUUGUAUUAGUUUAUGUGGGCUUAACUCCUACAAGAAAGAAGCUAAAAAUGUGGUAGUUCAAAACAAUGGAGGCUUGUUUCCUUCUCACCUAAGAAUCUAGCAGGGACGUUGCAGGUCAGCAAAGGGUUGGAGGUUGGCAAUGAGGAGCAAAUUUCUGUUCCGCACCGUCUUUCAGGGACUGAGGUUGACAGUGGCUCUAUUAUCAUUAGUGUAUGGCUUCCAAAGCUUGCUCACUUAUUAUUAUUGGCUUCCGGUCAUGGAAAGGAGAAGACUAUGCAAGAGUCUGGGCAUUUUUUAGGUUAGGUCUUCAUGUGACACUCAACAUUUCCACUCAUGAUCCAUCAGCUCAAACACACCAAAAUUUGGCCACACCAAAUUGUAGAGGAAGCUGAAACAUUCAGAUUAUCUCUGUACCCAGGAAGAAAGGAAGAAUAGAUUUCAGUGGACAAUUGAAAUUAUUUCCAGAAAGCCUCUAUUUUACUGAUGAAGAUAAUGAAACUCUGGUUUGGUGAAUUCUUUUUGAAAACAUUGGCUACCAAUGCAUGGACCUGGGAAAAAAUCAAGGUCAUUUCAUUACCUCCCUAUAUUUCAGCCAAAAUGAAAUUACGUAUAAAACCAAGGAUUUAGAGAAUAUCUACAACAUGCCUAGGUCUGUCUGUGUCUGUGUUACAUGUUUGGAAUUCAGUGGUGGUCAUAGUUCUACUGGCUUUGUGAUCAAAGAAUAAUUUCUGCAUAUGUUGAAGGAUUCUUUUACCUUUGAUCUUUAAGCACUCUUUGAAACCCUUAAUCAUAUACCCUAUUUCCAGGGUGGAUUAAAUUUUUUAGAUAACACACAUCAUGUAUUAAAAAGCCCUACAUGUUCAUAAGGCUAUAAAUUUCUCAAGAAGGGAUGGAGUGAAAUUUCUUGCUGUUUUAUAUAAUUUAUGUAACAUCUAGCGUGGAGUUUUAAAAUCAGACCAUGAGGAGUUUUACUCUCAGUUACUCAUCUUUAGCCAGUUCAUUUAACAAUGUUAAAAGAAGUCAUAUUGUUUCCUUCUUUUUAAAAAAAUUCUAUAUGCUGUAUCUCCUAUCUAUCUAUCUAUCUACUAUCUAUCUAUCUAUCUAUCUAUCUAUCUAUCAAUUCUGUCUGUCUUAGAAGACAGUUGGGGUAAGUAAUAUGAGAUAAUAAAUGUAAAAGGGAUAAGAAAUUACGAAAUUUGAUGCAGAGACAUAGAAUCAUUAUUACGAUAAUCCAUCAGUACUCUGAAUUUUACCAGAGUACUGAAUACACAUUCACUGUCAUGGAACAUUUACAAUGUUGUAUGUGAGGUAGGUGCUAUAGACUGCAUGUGUCCCUUUGAAAUCCUAAUCCCUAAAUGGUGGCAUUUAGAGGUGAUUAGUUGAUAAAGACAGAGCCCCCCUGAAUGGAAUUAGCGUUUAUAUAAAGAGAGCUCCCCCAUACCCUCAGCCAUGUGAGGAUACAGCAAAAAGAUGACCAUCUACGAAUCAAAAAGAUGACCAUCUACCAAUCAGGAAGUAUGAGCCUUCACCCAACACCAAAUCUGCCAGUGCCUUGAUCUUGCCUGUUCCACCUUCCAAAGUGGGGAGAAAUGAAUUCCUGUUUUUUGUUUUUGUUUUUGUUUAUUUUAUUUUAUUUUUUUUUUUGAGAUGGAGUCUCGCUUUGUCACCCAGGCUGGAGUGCAGUGGUGCGACCUCGGCUCACUGCAAGCUCCGCCUCCCAAGUUCACGCCAUUCUCCUGCCUCAGCCUCCCGGGUAGCUGGGACUACAGGCACCCGCCACCACAACCGGCUAAUUUUUUUGUAUUUUUAGUAGAGACGGGGUUUCACCAUGUUAGCCAGAAUGGUCUCAAUCUCCUGACCUUGUGAUCUGCCCGCCUAGGCCUCCCAAAGUGCUGGGAUUACAGGCGUAAGCCACUGCACCUGGCCAAAUUUCUGCCCAGUCUAUAUUAGUUUGUUAUAGCAGGCCAAACUAACUAACACAGAAAUUGAUAUGGGGAGUAGGGUGUUGCUAUAACAAGGACCUAGAAAUGUGGAAGCCAUUUUGGAGUUUUGAAGUGCAUGUGAAACAAAGCCUACAUUGCUGUGAACAGACUGUUAAGGGUAAUUCUGGGAACGGCCAAGAAGGAGAGGAGGAGAGCUGUAGAGAAAGCCUCAAUAUUCUUAAAUGUAGAGUAUCUAAGUGGCAAUGAACAGAAUGUUGGUGGGAAUAUGGACUGUAAAGGUCAUUCUAUCGAGAUCACAGAUGGAAAUGAGGAAUAUGCUAUUGGAUAGUGAAACAAAGACCAUUCUUCUAUAAAGGGGCAAAAAAACUUGGCUGAAUUGUGUUUAUGCCCUGGUGUUUUGUAGAAGUUAGAACUUGUGAAAUGGGAUAUUUAGCCCAGGAAUUAUCUAGGCAAAGUUUGGGAGGAGCGACCUGACUCCUCUUGACUGCUUAUAGUAAAAUGUGAGAAGAGAGAAAUAAUUUAAAGAUGAAAUUGCUAAUCAAAAGGAAAGCAGAAUAUAAAGAUUUGGAACAUUCUCAGCCUAUUCUUAUUGAAAAGAAUGAUAAAACCUGUUCAGGGAAGGAACAUAAAGGGUGUGCCCAAUCAACUUGAUAAGGAGAUUAGUUUAGAUCUGCCAUCUGAACCGAAGUUCAGGGCUAUUCUCCAAGACAAUGGGAGAAUGACCGUGAAGGCAAUUUAGAAAUCAUCAGGGCUGCCACUACCAUCGCAGCCACAGAGUGGAAGAGCCCUAGGAGCAGGAUGGUUUUGAAAGAAGGACCACUGCUUCCUCUGGUGCUGUGCUUCUUUGCCACCCCAGGCAGGGCCACCCCUGCCACUCUUUGGCAGGCUCUAGUGCAACACAGGCAACACACAGAAUACUGAGGAAAGAACAUUGACUCAGGAGGCCAAAUACUUGGAUUUGAGGCCUACUUCGGAUAAAUAUUAACUAUUUGAUAUAGGAAAAAUGACUUUUACCCUCUAUUUCCUGGGAGAUAGAAUAAUAGCUUCUCUCCCUUAUAAUCUCACCGGGUUAUUAUAGGAUCAUAACAUCUAUAUAUCAAAAAUAUCUCAGAGUUUUUUUUUUAUGGGUUUGAUGAGUCAAUCACUCUUGGUUCUGUCCCUCUAAAGCUGCAAGAGCCAUGCCAAUGGAGCUUUAUGUUACAGUUUGCUUAACAUUUAAUUGAGGUCUCAGGUGAGGCUGGGGUGCCUAAGGUUCAAGCUUUUAAAAAUGGAUUAUUAUGCUAUGGACUAUUUUCCCUCUCUCUCUUUUUUUAAAUUUUACUUUAAGUUCUGGGAUACAUGUGCAGAAUGUGCAGGUUUGUUACAUAGUUAUACAUGUGCCAUGUGGUUUGCUGCACCUAUUUACCCAACCUUUAAGUUCCCUCCUCUCAUCCUCCAACCCCCAACAGGCUGUGGUGUGUGAUGCUCCCCUUCCUGUGUCCAUGUGCUCUCAUUGUUCACCUCCCACUUAUGAGUGACAACAUGCGGUGUUUGGUUUUCUGUUCCUGUGUUAGUUUGCUGAGGAUGAAGGCUUCCAGCUUCAUCCAUGUCCCUGCAAAGGACAUAAUUGCAUUUCUUUUUCUGGCUGCAUAGUGUUCUGCUUUGGACUAUUAAUGUUGGAGGCUUUUAAUGUUUAAAGUAGUACAAGCUGCCAUCAAACCUAGAACUCCACUAGAUGGUAUCUUUGAAAGAUUGUCUUCUAGCUUCAAUUGUAAUAAUUCCAGCAAUGAGAACUAACUGACAAAAAGGCACAUUUGAUCUGAAUACUUGUUUUAACUGUAUUUACUGAGGCAGGCAUGAUGCUAGUGAGCUAACACAGAAGACUGGAUUGUCAAAUCAGACUUACACAACUCGGAGAUCUUACCUGGUGUCAAUGUUUACUAAUAGUUUCAUGGACACAUACCACCAAGUGGCACAGGUAAAGCUGACAGCAGUCCAGAGCAUUUGGUGGGACUCCACAGGUCUUUCCUUCCAGAAUCAGAUAUAGAAUCUCUGGCCCAGCGUAAUGGAGAAGGUCUCUAAGUGAGGUCUGUGAGUUCCUGCCCACAGUGGAUUGUCUAGAUUAAGAAACAUCUCCAUUUUAUACCCCAGAGUGUGGUAUAAUCAAUGUGACAUGCUCUGGGAAACUAUACCACAUAAAUCUUUAGAUUCUAGGUCUAUCUACCACAAGUGAUUCUAAACCAGGAACAUCCUGCUAAAAAGAUUGCAUAAAUAAUUACCCACUUCUAGGAAACAUCAUGAUUUCAUUUGCCGGGAGUUCCACUUAUCAGCAUGUUUACAGGAGGUUAGAUUGGGUUAGCUUCCUUUUUUCUUUCCCUAGACUAUUCUCCUGAUAACUGGGAGAGAAAUGGAUUAGUGGCCAGUUAUUUGAAUUUCUUCCUCCCUGGCUAAGUAGGGGAAAUACAAUGGUGAACACAACAUACCAGGUCUCUGCCUUUGACUAAUUCACUGAUUGGGAGAGAAGAAGCAAUCAGAUCGGUUUAAUAGAACCAGCUAGUCUACUGAGUACUGAUCAAGAACACUUCUCAUCUAUGGUUGAAAGUUACACUUGUGAAAAACAACUCAAUUUUAAACCAACAAUUUUGUUUUGGAGUGUCCAUCCUUGUGAGUUUUGAUUUGGGAUUCAUAUUUGAAGCUGUCAUUGUUUUUCUCUAGUCACAAUAUUUAAAUCUAUAUGACACACCUGUCACAAUUUACAGUUUUAUGUGCUUUUCCUUGCACCUCAGCUUCAGAUGCUCUGGACGAUGACUGUUUGUUUGUAAGUGUCAACAUGCACACCUAAGUAAAUGUUAUGUUUACAGAAUAGUCUAUUUUUGAAUAUAGACUAUUCCAUAAGGAAGCAACUUAGAUGAAAAUCCAUUUAGCUCUUUUCAACCAUCACAGUAAUAGAUACACUCUCAGAAAUUUAUUUUAGUUACAUGCAUACAGAAGACCAAUGAUGGAGAUCUAUAUAGCAUGUUAUGGGAACAGAUAAGAGGGGCAAGUUCUCUCAGUUACAUGGGCAGAGUCUUAAGGCAUAAGAGGAAUAUAAACAAAUCAAGAAGGGACAGGACAUUUCAAGCAGAAGCAAGGCACUGAGAGAACAAACAGCUUGGUAUGUACUAAAGUACAAGAAGUUUGAUCUUUGUUGAACAUUAAAUGCCACGCAGAAGCGGAAGAUAUCGGAGCUGGUGCAGCAAGCAGGAACCAGAUGGGUCAUCAGAAAUCUCUAGGAGCCAUUAAAGAGCUCAGAUUUUCUCUUGUUGACAUGGUGAAGUAGGAAUGCAAUAUAGUGGUUCAAAUGACAGCUGUGACUGUUGGAAAUGCAUUUUUCUUUUCCUCCUAUUAAGAUUAAAUCCACAACCCUGUUAUUAUUUCUGUCUGUUGUUUUUAGCCCUGGUUUUAAAACUAGUGAGGAGACAUCUAAUUUCUCCUGACAGUCCUCAGAUAUUUGAAGAUACAGCCUAUGUUCCCUGAGCUUCUCCAAGGGUAGUAUCUUCAUGGUUAUAUGGCCUCCAGACAUCUUAUCAUCCUGUUCUUCCCUUGAUAUGAGCACCUCCCAAGUGCCAGGGUUAAGGGAUUGGCAGAGGUAUACUAUUUUUAGGAUUGAGUGUGGGGAAGCAAUUCAGCCUCAGAUGCCAAGAAAUUGGAUGUUUCGCUCAUCUCUGUGGAAAUUCCCAUUUUCCAUUUGAAAUUCAGUUUUUUAUUCCUUUCGUAUCUGGGUAUGAUUUUCUUAAGGCUUCACUGAUUCCAAGGAAAUGUUCAAAAUCCUCCAUAAAGUUUCUAUAUAUUUUCUGGAAUUUACUUCUUAUGAAGCUCCUCUGUCUCAUAUUUCUGCAGUUAUAUGUCUUGUCUUUUAAUGGCUAUGUCAACUUAGUGCAUAGAACAGGAUGUGGUAGGUGCCCAAUAAAUAUUUUUUGAAUGAAUAAAUAGACUCAAAUUUAUUCAUUGAAAUGAAUAGAUUCAGGUACAAUUCAGCAUUUUCAUUGGCUUCUUUCUAGCUUUAAGCAUUUUUUAAUUUAAGAGGAAUUUAUUGAAGAUCGAUGGUCUCAACUGAGUAAGGCUGCAAUUUUCUACUUUGUUCCUUUUCUCUAUCCCUGUUCUCAAAUUCUUUCUCCAUUGUUCCCUGAAAGCUGCAAAUUCUUUUUUCUCCAUAAUGGGUAAUAAUUCAGGUCUCCCUAGCUCCUAUGGUUGUAACUAUACAUCUGUUAAAAAUGGUGCACUGAUGAACGCCUAACAACUUGCUUUCCAAAAAUUAUCGCCAUGGAUGAUUUCAAACUACUAAUGCAAAGUCAAUGAAUAUUGCAUCAGGAAGAGAUUGAGCUCUUGAGAGCUAUGAUGAGCUGGUUCCAGUCCUCCACUGAAGGGCUCAAAAACCAAAGGAUCUGUCCUCCUCAGAGGGUGGUUGAGAUCACAUACAGCUACUCUUUUUUCUGUUGUUACAUUAAAAAAAAAAAAAAAGCUAUUCAGCAUAAACUAGACUUUCUAAACUUGUAAACCAAUGGUAAUAAACUGGGAGGAGUGCUGCCCCCAAGAGGGGAUUUGAAAAUUCUCAGGGCUAUCUGGGGCUGUAGCAGUAACUGGGAUACUACAGAUAUUUAGUGGGCAAAGGUCAGGAAUGUUGGGUAUUCUCCCACAUGAAAGACAGUCCUGCACAACAAAGAAUUGUACUGACCAAAAAGUCUAUAGUGAAAUCCUUGGAAAAUUCUGCUCUGCACCAUGCUUCCCACAGGUUGGCUUUCUGCCAGAUCAUAGUCCUUUAUAUUCUGCUAAACUUUUGUGAGGGAAAUAAUCACACCCUGCUGCUUACAGGAAAAGGAAGUCCUAUGCUUAGUGACAGAUGCUUAUUUUAUUUCUAAGUGAUUGAAAUCAAACGCAUUGGAAUGAAACUUUUUUCCCUAUUAACCUUUAGCAGCAUUUAUAAUGACCAUGUUAAAUCAAGUCUCAUUACAAUGUAAUGGGGCCUGACUGAAAUACUGCAGGUAUGAUGCUGAGUAAUUUCAUAAAUUAUUAAGUGGUAAUUGAAAAUAAUAUGGCAGAAUACAUUUUACUCCUGGGGGGGAUAAUACAGAAGACUUUGGAAGGAAAUAAAGUUGGUUAAAAUAUAGCAUAUAGGAAAGAGUUGGAAGCUGGGUGGAGAGGAAGGGUAAGAGAAGUCCCGGACAUAUCAUUUAAUUUUUGGCUUUGGGUUAAAAUAUGUAUUUUGGAUACUGGGGUUUCACUGACUGCUUAAGUGGUUAAGGCCCCUGCUUGAGACGUUGCAGACACUUCAACUCCUCUCUUACUUCCUGUGCCCAGGCAGUCAUCAGAGCAAAAGGAUCAAACUCAAAUUAUUUUUUAUACCAAUCAUUUCUCCAUGCCAUGUCUUUAUUUCAGUUACGAUUCACUUCAAGUCCUCACCUCGCAAAAGCUUUUCAGAAGCUUUAUUCUAACAAAAAUCCCCAACAGUGAAGCAGUUAAUGCUUGUUGUGAAAAACUAAAAUAAUAAAGAAUAUAGAAUUACAGCAGGGAAAGUCUCAUAUUGUCACACACAGCCUUUACUAGAGGCAAUAUAUUCCUCCAGAUCCACACAUAUAGCACUUUAAAAGCUUAGUUUUCUAACAAACACUCAUACUAUAUGGACUGUUCUACAACUUGCUCUUUUUAUUCAAUAUUAUAGCUUAGACAUCGUUUUAUGUCUACACAUCUAGAUCUAAACUUUAAAAUAUUUUUAAAAUUAUAAGCAUACUGCAAAGCAUACAUAAUUUUUGUGAUUUCUAUUUUUAAUCACAAGUGAAUAUACCUGUGUAACCUCUACUUACCACUGUCCUUGAAUUCUCCCUCACAUCCCUCCCAGUCACUAACCCAUCCUUCCUGAAUGUAACCACUAUUCUAAAUUAUCUCGCCACAGAGUAGUUCUGCCGUUUCUUGAGAUUAAUAUAAGUGAAAUCAUUCAAUAUCAACUCUUUUGUGUCUGUGAAAUUUUUCCACAUUAUAGCAUGGAAUAGUGGUUCAUUUUUAUUGCUAUAUAGUAUUCUAUUGUGUGAAUGUACCAUAAUCUAUUCAUUUUCCUUUAGUUGACUUUUAGAUUGUAGUUUUGAGUUGCUCUGAAUAAUGACUGUUUACUUAUGUGUCUUUUGAUGAAUACACACACACACACACACACACAAAUUUUUCUUGGAUACAUACCUAGGAGUGGAAUUGCUCUGAUGUAAAUAAUGUGCAUAUUCAGCAUUAGCUGCUGCCGCCAAGAGCUUUGCCAAAGCAACUAUAAAUAAUUCAGGUGUUCACAGGCUAUGUGUGAGGAUUCCAGUUGCUCUAUAUCUUUGCCAAUACUUGGUAUAGUAGGUUUUAUUUUUAUUAUUUAUUUAUUUAUUUCAACAGUUUUUGUGGAAGAGUUGUGUAUUAGUCUGUUUUCAUGCUGCUGAUAAAGACAUGCCUGAGACUGGGUAAUUUAUACAGGAAAAAGGGUUUAAUGGAUUUACAGUUUUAUGUGGCUGAGGAGGCCUCACAAUCAUGGCAGAAGGUAAGGAGGAGCAAGUCACAUCUUACGUGGAUGGCAGCAGGCAAAAAGAGAGAGCUUGUGCAGGGAAACUCCCCCUCACAGAACCAUCAGAUCUCUUGAGAGUCCUUCACUAUCAUGAGAACAGUGCAGGAAAGACUCGCCCCCAUGAUUCAAUCACGUUGCACUGGGUUUCUCCCACGACACAUGGGAAUUAUAGGAGCUACAAGUCAAGAUGAGAUUUGGGUGGGGACACAACCAAACCAUAUCAAGGUGGUUUUUGGUUUUUGGUUUGGAUCUUCAUUUUGAAAGAUAUUUUUUUAGUUACUAGCAAAAGCAUUUUAGACUGAUAAGUUA
Molecule: long non-coding RNA, 17309 nt
Organism: Pan troglodytes (chimpanzee)
Lineage: Eukaryota; Metazoa; Chordata; Mammalia; Primates; Hominidae
Exons: 3
Source: RefSeq, a predicted model, not a curated record